UUGUGGAGCGAUUUGUCUGGUCAAUUCCGAUAAUAAACGAGACUAGCCUACUAAAUAGUUCGAGGACCCCCACAAAGGGGUCCAGCUUAAACUUCUCGGAGGGGACAGGUGGCGUUUAGCCACACGAGAUUGAGCAAUAACA
Molecule: ribosomal RNA, 142 nt
Filed under: uncultured eukaryote
Lineage: Eukaryota
Description: partial 18S ribosomal RNA
Rfam family: Eukaryotic small subunit ribosomal RNA
Source: RNAcentral